UAACACAUGCAAGUCGAGGGGAAACGACAUCGAAAGCUUGCUUUUGAUGGGCGUCGACCGGCGCACGGGUGAGUAACGCGUAUCCAACCUACCCAUCACUUGGGGAUAACCUUGCGGAAGUAAGACUAAUACCCAAUGACGUCUCUAGAAGACAUCUGAAAGAGAUUAAAGAUUUAUCGGUGAUGGAUGGGGAUGCGUCUGAUUAGCUUGUUGGCGGGGUAACGGCCCACCAAGGCAACGAUCAGUAGGGGUUCUGAGAGGAAGGUCCCCCACAUUGGAACUGAGACACGGUCCAAACUCCUACGGGAGGCAGCAGUGAGGAAUAUUGGUCAAUGGGCGAGAGCCUGAACCAGCCAAGUAGCGUGCAGGAUGACGGCCCUAUGGGUUGUAAACUGCUUUUAUAAGGGAAUAAAGUGAGUCUCGUGAGACUUUUUGCAUGUACCUUAUGAAUAAGGACCGGCUAAUUCCGUGCCAGCAGCCGCGGUAAUACGGAAGGUCCGGGCGUUAUCCGGAUUUAUUGGGUUUAAAGGGAGCGUAGGCCGGAGAUUAAGCGUGUUGUGAAAUGUAGACGCUCAACGUCUGCACUGCAGCGCGAACUGGUUUCCUUGAGUACGCACAAAGUGGGCGGAAUUCGUGGUGUAGCGGUGAAAUGCUUAGAUAUCACGAAGAACUCCGAUUGCGAAGGCAGCUCACUGGAGCGCAACUGACGCUGAAGCUCGAAAGUGCGGGUAUCGAACAGGAUUAGAUACCCUGGUAGUCCGCACGGUAAACGAUGGAUGCCCGCUGUUGGUCUGAAUAGGUCAGCGGCCAAGCGAAAGCAUUAAGCAUCCCACCUGGGGAGUACGCCGGCAACGGUGCAACUCAAAUG
Molecule: ribosomal RNA, 868 nt
Filed under: uncultured Bacteroidota bacterium
Lineage: Bacteria; Pseudomonadati; Bacteroidota
Description: bacterial SSU rRNA
Rfam family: Bacterial small subunit ribosomal RNA
Source: RNAcentral